CACAGUUGCUCAAAGGUAACUGUGUAUAUAUAAAGAGAUAGUUUGGAUCAUACGAUAUUGGUAUUGACUACUGAAGGAAAAUAAGUCCUUUCAUUUCACAUCGUCAUCGUGGUCUCGCAGUAAAUCUGAAGACAUGAAAGCCGUCAUCUUAAUUUUAUGUGUGAUAGCCAUCUCCCUAACAGAGGCCUAUUACUAUAGGCAUGGUGGUUAUCGCCGUAUGUACAGACCCCCGAAACCCCCUGUUCCACCAAUUAAUCCACCAGUUCCACCACCAGUUAAUCCAACCCUAAGCUGCCCAGGAAAUGUAGGCGGUAAAUUGCUUUUUUGCUCUCCAAACUGUCUCAAACCGAGCUUUGUUCCUGUAAGCGGAGUCCCUGGAUGUUAUGCUGGAUUAACUUGUUGCACUCAAGUAUAAAAAAUUAUGCAGAAAAAAAUUUAAAGACUUAAAAGUGGUUGAGAAUACUCAGAACCAAUGAUGGACGGAUAGAAAGGAUGGUGCACAAUAAAAGCUCUUGAUUCACAUAUA
Octopus sinensis (East Asian common octopus) is the source of this 526-nucleotide long non-coding RNA. RefSeq lists it as uncharacterized. The record is from RefSeq and is a predicted model, not a curated record. Lineage: Eukaryota; Metazoa; Mollusca; Cephalopoda; Octopoda; Octopodidae. The transcript has 4 exons.